Molecule: ribosomal RNA, 497 nt
Filed under: uncultured bacterium
Lineage: Bacteria
Description: partial 16S ribosomal RNA
Rfam family: Bacterial small subunit ribosomal RNA
Source: RNAcentral
GAUGAACGCUGGCGGCGUGCCUAAUACAUGCAAGUCGAGCGAACAGACGAGGAGCUUGCUCCUCUGACGUUAGCGGCGGACGGGUGAGUAACACGUGGAUAACCUACCUAUAAGACUGGGAUAACUUCGGGAAACCGGAGCUAAUACCGGAUAAUAUAUUGAACCGCAUGGUUCAAUAGUGAAAGACGGUUUUGCUGUCACUUAUAGAUGGAUCCGCGCCGCAUUAGCUAGUUGGUAAGGUAACGGCUUACCAAGGCAACGAUGCGUAGCCGACCUGAGAGGGUGAUCGGCCACACUGGAACUGAGACACGGUCCAGACUCCUACGGGAGGCAGCAGUAGGGAAUCUUCCGCAAUGGGCGAAAGCUUGACGGAGCAACGCCGCGUGAGUGGUGAAGGUCUUCGGAUCGUAAAACUCUGUUAUUAGGGAAGAACAAAUGUGUAAGUAACUAUGCACGUCUUGACGGUACCUAAUCAGAAAGCCACGGCUAACUACGUG